UUCCGUACUCCACUCCUUUGAUUGUAGUUGCAUUCGUGGUAUCUCGUGAUAUAUCGUCAUUUAUUUUCUUAUAAUCCUAUUGGAAUUCUUAAAUAGAAAUUUGAUAAUUGAUACUUUGGUUGUAUUCAGUAAUUUAAACUAAUUUCCUUCUAUUAAAAUUGGUACAUAUUCCAUGAUUUGUUCAGCGAGACUCUUGUUAAAUUUGAUUUGUUCGUCUUGUCCCUUGUUUCGAAUUCUGUUAUGAUUUCACAUAAUUGUUUCCUGUGAAAUUCAUACAUUACUUUCAUUUUGGAGUUGAC
Molecule: long non-coding RNA, 299 nt
Filed under: Panax ginseng (ginseng)
Lineage: Eukaryota; Viridiplantae; Streptophyta; Magnoliopsida; Apiales; Araliaceae
Description: long non-coding RNA (PGIN_LNC015608)
Source: RNAcentral